UAGAAAUAGAAAAUUAGAGGGGAGAGAAGACAGAACUAGAAGAGCACAUGCUCACACACACUGACAGAAACGCUGAGAGCUUAAAAGAGAGAAAAGGCGGCCAGGCGCAGUGACUCACACCUGUAAUCCCACCACUUUGGGAGGAUCAUGAGACGGACGGAUCAUGAGGUCGAGAGAUCGACACCAGCCUGGCCAACAUGGUGAAACCCCGUCUCUACUAAAAAUACAAAAAUUAACUGGGCUUGGUGGCGUGUACCUGUGGUCCCAGCUACUCGAGAGGUUGAGGCAGGAGAAUCGCUUGAACCCGGGAGGCGGAGGUUGCAGUGAGCCAAGAUUGCAUCACUGCACUCCAGCCCGGGGACAGAGCAAGACUCCAUCUCAAAAAAAAACAAAAAAAAAAAAAAAAAGAAGAGAGAAAGGGCUAAAAGGCUAAAAUGCUUUGUGUGUGGCACUCUAAUGCCCUUUAGUGCCAAGCCAGCACAUUCACACAGUUUAACAAAACACAGUUCAAAAAGUGAUAUUACGUGAGAACACUGAGUCUCUAAGGAGCUUAAACCAUGACGGGUAACUCUAUUAGGGAAGUCAGGCAGCAUAUGUAAAUUUUUAAUAGAUCUAUAAUAUGAUGGCAAUUAUUUUUAGUUUUUAAAGUGAAGAUUAUGUGCAUUUCAGAAAGAUUCAAAAUUUAAAAGUCAUGAUGCAUUUUAGCUUCACUUGCAGUCACCUGGAAUAUGAGCACUAUGUGGACUGGCUCACUCUCUCAUAAUAGGAGCGCCACACACACAAGUUGCUGCCAUACGUGGAUAGGCAUUACUCAGAAUUACAAAACGGAAUCUCUUGCCUUUCUCACGUAUAAACUCAUGAAGACAAUGUUUCUUACAAAAGCCUACAAAGCUUAACACAGCAUUUGCAAGUGGCUACCUCAUUGUUAGCAAUGUCUUCUUUGUUGGAGUAAGCAAGAAUUUAGGAAGAUGCCACCAACGCCAAGUUCCCUCUUCAUCCUUCACAGAACAGCACGCAAGUACUUCUCUGUCCUCUCCAGUUAGCUUGAGCGUCGCUCAGCAACUUAAGACUGUGCUCUUGGAUAUUAAAAUAAAGCUCACUCAAAAAAUAUUCCUAAAUAGGACACGACGGUUAAACUGGCAAUGCUAUAAAUAUUACAGGACCAAAGUGUAUUUUUGUCUUCAUUUCUCUAUGCCAGACACUGCUAAACCAACUGUGCACACACAAACUUCUUUGUUGUUGUUGUCAAGGAGAGUAUGCAGCUUCUUUAGGACUAUUUUAAAUUCGGUGCCUCAUUUCACAUAAAUAUUUACCCAAAGGAAGGUGUCUGACAGUGAAAAUCUGUACACCAUCAUAAUCCUUUUACACAGGGCAGCAUUUUUACUGUACCCUGAUGAAGGUAUAAAAAGCUCCUCCAUGGAAAUACCAUUAAGAAGACAGUGAAUAUAGAGAGUAAAAAAGGAAAGGUUAUCAUUAUCUCCAGAAGGUGAAGUUUAUAAAAAUAAAAUUUCUUUGUCAAGAGGCCCAAACAGAGUGCUCUGUGUAUGAAAUAUGCUCAGCUCAGCAAUCUCAAUGGAAAAAACAGAAAGUAAUGGUGACUUAUUUUUCAAUGCAUCUGAAAGUGAAGAAACUGAGGCUGAGUAUUCAAGGUCAACUGCCAAGUGAGAGCACAAGGAUUCAAACCCAGGCAAUCUGAUUACACCCUGGAGAUCCAGCAGUAGGCCAAGCCACUUCUCCUGUAGUUUAUGGUCUACUGUCUGAGGCAGACUUUAGACACAUAAGCAGUACACAUGUAGGUGCUCCAAAGGAAAAUUAGAGGAUAUUUUUGGAGAAUAUAACAUGGGGUCCUAAAAUGAGCUGUUAGGGAAGAAUGGAGACUAAACGACACUGGUUGAGAAUUAAUGAUGAGUAGGAGUUUGUCAGGCAAAGAGACCGGGAGUGUUUCAAGCAGGGGAGAGGUAUGUGCAGAGGUCCCAAGGCAGAAAAGAGUUUGUUCUAGUAAUGGAAAUGAAAGGAAAUGAGUGUAUCUGAAAUGUACUGAGCAAUAGAGAGAAUGAAGGGAGAUGUACUUGGACAUGUAGGCGGGGCCUUGCAAAACUUAUGAGGAAUUUUGUAUUUCAUCCUAAGUGCAGUGAAAAGUAACUGGAGAGUUUUACUAAAGACAAACAUGGUCCUGUUUGCAUUUUAAAGUCUUUGGGUUGCUGUUUGGAAAACAGACUGGAGGAUGAAAAGAGACAAAUUUGGGGGUCAUUGCAGGAGUCCCAAGUGGCUGAUGAUGAUGAUUAGACUACUGGUGGCAGUAAAAUUGGGAGAAAGAGAGUGUAUGUGAAGUGUAUUGUGGAAGUAGAUUUGAUGUACAAGACUUGGUGGUGGACUGGAUGAAGAGAGAGGCGCUCCAGACACCUCAUUACAGGCUUUCCUUAAACCACUGCUCAACUUCCUCCCACUUCUCCUGUGUCUGAUGGGGACCAGUCCUUUUCAGAGUUAACACCAGUGUAAGUAUUUCAUGAAAGAGAGGAGGACACCACAGGCUUAAUAGAUAAUUGUUAGUGAUCUUAUGUUUAAGAAGAUAGUAGUGAUGGAUAGGAUGGGGGAAAUGGAGAAAUAGAUGGAAGACAGCUGUCUACCCCCAUAGAACAGCUGUGGGACCAUCUGUUUGUCAAAUUUCCCAUACAAAAUGCUCCAGGCUGUGUACCCUGGGUGGUUAUCACGCUGCUGGAGAGCAUUAACAGUAAUGUCAGUGACCUGAGAGUUCAGUUUACGAAUAGUAUCUGAACACGGCCAUUUUGAUGGAAUUCUUUCUCUUUCAUUUUUAUAAGAGAAAAUAAAAAGAAUUAUCUUAAAAAAUAAAGAGUUCUUCAGGAGGCUAAGGCAAGAGGAUCACUGGAGCCCAGGAGUUCAAGAUCAGCCUGUGCAACGUAGCAAGACCCUGUCUCAAAAUAAAUUAAUAAAUAUUAAAUACAUUAAAUUGAAGAGUUCAUACAUAUACAGUCAUGCAUUGCUUAACGAUGGAGAUAUGUUUGAGAAAUGAACCCUUAGGCGAACAUCAGAGAGUGUUCUUAAACAAACCUAGAUGGUAUAGCCUACUACACACCUACGUUAUAUGGCAAAGCCAAUUGCUGCUCCUAGGGUAGAAACCUACACAGCAUGUUACUGUACUGAAUACCCUGGGCAAUUGUAGGAUGAUGAUAAGUACAGUUGACCCUUGAGCAACACAGGUUUGAACUGUAUGGGUUCACUUAGGCACAUUUGUUUUCAGUUAUAGUUACACCACAUGUGCCUGCCUCUCCUGCUUCCCCUUCUGUUUCCUCCCCUCUUCUGCCUCUGCCACCCCUAAGACAGCAAAAUCAACCCCUCCUCUUCCUCCUACGCAACAUGAAGACUGCUCAACAUGAAGAUGACAAGGGUGAAAACCUUUGUAAUGAUUCACUUCCACUUAAUGAAUAGUAAAUAUGUUUUCCUUGUGAUUUUCUUUUCUCUAACUUACUUUAUUGUAAAAAUACAGUUUAUAAUGUAUAUAGUGUACAAGAUAUUAAUAUGUGUUAAUCAACUGUUUAUGUUAUUGGUAAGGCUUCCAGUCAACAGUAAGUUAUUAAUAGCUAAGUUUUGGGGGAGUCAAAAGUUAUACGCACAUUUUAAGCUUUGUUGGGGGUUGGCGCCCCAGCGCCUGCAUUUUUCAACGGCCAACUUAUUUGUGUAUCUCAACACAUCUAAACAUAGAAAAGUACAGUGAAAAUAUGGUAUUAUAAUCUUCUAUGACCACCAUUGUGUGGUCCUUUGUUUACUAUCACAUGUAGCACAUAACUGUAUUAUUAUGUAUACAUUGAUUUAAAUACUGAUAAUUUAUAAAAAUUUAAAAAUCAAACAUCAGGUCCACGACAACAAAAAAUUAAGCAAUUAAGCCCAGUAUUAAUGAUUACAGAUUAGAGAGAUCAUGUUCCAAAACAUAUUUUUGGCACUCAUUCUGGCUGUGUAUAUUUUACUUGAAGGUAAUCAUUUCUGAGACUGGCUUAUUCAGCAAGCUGCUGUUAAAGUUAUUUUGCAAAAGAUUUAGACUCAGUCUCUUUCUACUCACACAUAUAGCAAUAAACUACUUCCCAGUGGCCUCACUGGGAGUCUCUAUGUCCGUAUCAUGGAAUUGUGUGUCUGAGUUUGGAAUUGAUUAACUAGAAUUUAUACAAAGAAGAGUGGCCAAAAUAGUGAGGGUAUUCUAAACUUUUUAAUAUUAAGAACAGAUGAAAGAAUGGGGGAUAUUGAGCCUGGAGAAAGCAGCUUAGGAUAACUAUCUUAACUAUUAAUAUUUUAAUAUAUACUAGAAAAGCUGUAAUGUGGAAGGAUUGAAUUUACUUUCUGUGGCUAAAAAGGGCAAAAUAAACACCGAUGAAUAAAGGACAAUGGGAAGCAAAUUUAUGUUCAAUAUAAGACAGGCUUUGCCAAACUGAACAGUUCAAAAAUCAAACAGUCUCAGAAGGUAGUAGCUGGUUCAUUGGCAUGAGUGGUAUCUUCAGAGACUAAAUGACCAUUUUUGCUUAAUGUUUUAUAAAGUUUGAUCAGUCAGUAAGCAUUUGGCUGAAGAUUCUAAAGUCUCAUUCUAUUUCUAAGAUUCCAUUGUAGAGUUGAUUAUGUCUCCAGUAUCCAUUCUCACCACUCUAAAAGCCAUAAAUUUCCAUUUGAUGACUUGUGUAGUUCACUGGCAUUGCAUUGUGGAGUGGUGGGAAGGGGUUUGAAGCUAGGCUAAGUAUUUGGUGCAUUUCAUUUCUCUGGCUACAGUGAUUGGGUUGGGGUGAGCAUGUAAUUUAAUCCAGUUCUGAUGUCUUGAGAAUUCUGGGACUAAUAUGCUUUCUUCCCAUGAGUUAUGCAUUGAGAAGUAUGUAGUCUCUACAGUAACUGGUAGUCAUCUUAGAACCACAGGAGAGAUCUUGCCUAGAAUGAAGUCAGCAACAAGGAAACCAAGCAAAGAAUUGAAGAGAGAAAGACCUGGACCUGAUCACAUCACGAGACUAGUAGAUCCAGCCUUUUCGAAGCCAGGUGUCCCAAUGGACUUUUCGAUUACACGGGUCAGUGGAGUCUCCUUUUGAUUUAAGCUGUUUAAGUGUAUUUUUCACACAUGCAAAUAAAUUAUUCCUGAUUCUUAUCCAAUUAUGUGUAAAGUAGUAUCCCAUUCUCAGAAAGUGAAAAGAGACCAACUGCAGUCUGCAUACAAGGGUCUACACAGCAAUCAAGAGAUCUCG
This 5231-nucleotide long non-coding RNA is filed under the name Homo sapiens (human). RNAcentral describes it as "HSALNT0321681". The record is from RNAcentral. Lineage: Eukaryota; Metazoa; Chordata; Mammalia; Primates; Hominidae.